RNAcentral lists this ribosomal RNA (429 nucleotides) under Actinomycetes bacterium. Its description in RNAcentral is "Actinobacteria bacterium partial 16S ribosomal RNA". It matches the Rfam family "Bacterial small subunit ribosomal RNA", at positions 355 to 776 of the family's 1533-position model. Lineage: Bacteria; Bacillati; Actinomycetota; Actinomycetes. The record is from RNAcentral.
UAGGGAAUCUUCCGCAAUGGGCGAAAGCCUGACGGAGCAACGCCGCGUGAGUGAUGAAGGUCUUCGGAUCGUAAAACUCUGUUAUUAGGGAAGAACAAAUGUGUAAGUAACUAUGCACGUCUUGACGGUACCUAAUCAGAAAGCCACGGCUAACUACGUGCCAGCAGCCGCGGUAAUACGUAGGUGGCAAGCGUUAUCCGGAAUUAUUGGGCGUAAAGCGCGCGUAGGCGGUUUUUUAAGUCUGAUGUGAAAGCCCACGGCUCAACCGUGGAGGGUCAUUGGAAACUGGAAAACUUGAGUGCAGAAGAGGAAAGUGGAAUUCCAUGUGUAGCGGUGAAAUGAGCAGAGAUAUGGAGGAACACCAGUGGCGAAGGCGACUUUCUGGUCUGUAACUGACGCUGAUGUGCGAAAGCGUGGGGAUCAAACAGG